AGCAGUAUCCUGAGUACGGCGGGACACGUGAAAUCCCGUCGGAAUCUGGGAGGACCAUCUCCCAACCCUAAAUACUCCCUAGUGACCGAUAGUGAACCAGUACCGUGAGGGAAAGGUGAAAAGCACCCCGGGAGGGGAGUGAAAUAGAACCUGAAACCGUGUGCCUACAACAAGUUCGAGCCCGUUAAUGGGUGAGAGCGUGCCUUUUGUAGAAUGAACCGGCGAGUUACGUUAUGAUGCGAGGUUAAGUUGAAGAGACGGAGCCGUAGGGAAACCGAGUCUGAAUAGGGCGCCUUAGUAUCAUGACGUAGACCCGAAACCAUGUGACCUACCCAUGAGCAGGUUGAAGGUGCGGUAAGACGCACUGGAGGACCGAACCAGGGCACGUUGAAAAGUGCUUGGAUGACUUGUGGGUAGCGGAGAAAUUCCAAACGAACUUGGAGAUAGCUGGUUCUCUCCGAAAUAGCUUUAGGGCUAGCGUCGACAUUAGAGAUUCUUGGAGGUAGAGCACUGUUUGGGUGAGGGGUCCAUCCCGGAUUACCAAUCUCAGAUAAACUCCGAAUGCCAAUGAAUUAUGGUCGGCAGUCAGACUGCGAGUGCUAAGAUCCGUAGUCGAAAGGGAAACAGCCCAGACCACCAGCUAAGGUCCCAAAAUAAUUGUUAAGUGGAAAAGGAUGUGGGGUUGCACAGACAACUAGGAUGUUAGCUUAGAAGCAGCUAUUCAUUCAAAGAGUGCGUAAUAGCUCACUAGUCGAGUGACCCUGCGCCGAAAAUGUACCGGGGCUAAAACAAUUUACCGAAGCUGUGGAUACCUUUAUAGGUAUGGUAGGAGAGCGUUCUAUGUGUGAUGAAGGUAUACCGUGAGGAGUGCUGGAACGCAUAGAAGUGAGAAUGCCGGUAUGAGUAGCGAAAGACAGGUGAGAAUCCUGUCCACCGUAAGACUAAGGUUUCCAGGGGAAGGCUCGUCCGCCCUGGGUUAGUCGGGACCUAAGGAGAGACCGAAAGGUGUAUCCGAUGGACAACAGGUUGAUAUUCCUGUACUAGAGUAUGUAGUGAUGGAGGGACGCAGUAGGCUAACUAAAGCAGACGAUUGGAAGAGUCUGUCUAAGCAGUGAGGUGUGAAUUGAGUCAAAUGCUUAAUUCUAUAACAUUGAGCUGUGAUGGGGAGCGAAGUUUAGUAGCGAAGUUAGUGACGUCACACUGCCAAGAAAAGCUUCUAGCGUUUAAACAUACUCUACCCGUACCGCAAACCGACACAGGUAGUCGAGGCGAGUAGCCUCAGGUGAGCGAGAGAACUCUCGUUAAGGAACUCGGCAAAAUGACCCCGUAACUUCGGGAGAAGGGGUGCUGACUUUAAGUCAGCCGCAGUGAAUAGGCCCAAGCAACUGUUUAUCAAAAACACAGCUCUCUGCUAAAUCGUAAGAUGAUGUAUAGGGGGUGACGCCUGCCCGGUGCUGGAAGGUUAAGAGGAGUGCUUAGCGUAAGCGAAGGUAUGAAUUGAAGCCCCAGUAAACGGCGGCCGUAACUAUAACGGUCCUAAGGUAGCGAAAUUCCUUGUCGGGUAAGUUCCGACCCGCACGAAAGGCGUAAUGAUUUGGGCACUGUCUCAACGAGAGACUCGGUGAAAUUUUAGUACCUGUGAAGAUGCAGGUUACCCGCGACAGGACGGAAAGACCCCAUGGAGCUUUACUGCAGUUUGAUAUUGAGUGUCUGUACCACAUGUACAGGAUAGGUAGGAGUCUAAGAGAUCGGGACGCCAGUUUCGAAGGAGACGCUGUUGGGAUACUACCCUUGUGUUAUGGCCACUCUAACCCAGAUAGGUGAUCCCUAUCGGAGACAGUGUCUGACGGGCAGUUUGACUGGGGCGGUCGCCUCCUAAAAGGUAACGGAGGCGCCCAAAGGUUCCCUCAGAAUGGUUGGAAAUCAUUCGCAGAGUGUAAAGGUAUAAGGGAGCUUGACUGCGAGAGCUACAACUCGAGCAGGGACGAAAGUCGGGCUUAGUGAUCCGGUGGUUCCGUAUGGAAGGGCCAUCGCUCAACGGAUAAAAGCUACCCUGGGGAUAACAGGCUUAUCUCCCCCAAGAGUUCACAUCGACGGGGAGGUUUGGCACCUCGAUGUCGGCUCGUCGCAUCCUGGGGCUGUAGUCGGUCCCAAGGGUUGGGCUGUUCGCCCAUUAAAGCGGCACGCGAGCUGGGUUCAGAACGUCGUGAGACAGUUCGGUCCCUAUCCGUCGCGGGCGUAGGAAAUUUGAGAGGAUCUGCUCCUAGUACGAGAGGACCAGAGUGGACUUACCGCUGGUGUACCAGUUGUCUUGCCAAAGGCAUCGCUGGGUAGCUAUGUAGGGAAGGGAUAAACGCUGAAAGCAUCUAAGUGUGAAACCCACCUCAAGAUGAGAUUUCCCAUGAUUAUAUAUCAGUAAGAGCCCUGAGAGAUGAUCAGGUAGAUAGGUUAGAAGUGGAAGUGUGGCGACACAUGUAGCGGACUAAUACUAAUAGCUCGAGGACUUAUCCAA
RNAcentral lists this ribosomal RNA (2512 nucleotides) under Streptococcus pneumoniae. RNAcentral describes it as "23S ribosomal RNA". It matches the Rfam family "Bacterial large subunit ribosomal RNA", at positions 399 to 2925 of the family's 2925-position model. Lineage: Bacteria; Bacillati; Bacillota; Bacilli; Lactobacillales; Streptococcaceae. The record is from RNAcentral.